RNAcentral lists this ribosomal RNA (310 nucleotides) under uncultured bacterium. RNAcentral's name for it is "bacterial SSU rRNA". It matches the Rfam family "Bacterial small subunit ribosomal RNA", at positions 28 to 334 of the family's 1533-position model. The record is from RNAcentral.
GAUGAACGCUGGCGGCGUGCUUAACACAUGCAAGUCGAGCGAUGAAGUUUCCUUCGGGAAACGGAUUAGCGGCGGACGGGUGAGUAACACGUGGGUAACCUGCCUCAUAGAGUGGAAUAGCCUUCCGAAAGGAAGAUUAAUACCGCAUAAUGUUGAAAGAUGGCAUCAUCAUUUAACCAAAGGAGCAAUCCGCUAUGAGAUGGACCCGCGGCGCAUUAGUUAGUUGGUAGGGUAACGGCCUACCAAGACGAAUGAUCAGUAGCCGGACUGAGUGGUUGAACGGCCACAUUGGGACUGAGAUACGGCCCAG